This 46-nucleotide non-coding RNA is filed under the name Schistosoma mansoni. Lineage: Eukaryota; Metazoa; Platyhelminthes; Trematoda; Strigeidida; Schistosomatidae. The record is from RNAcentral.
GAACUGCUGAGGUGUCCAACAAUGGAACGAAACGGUCGUCCAGUGC